Molecule: long non-coding RNA, 210 nt
Filed under: Manihot esculenta (cassava)
Lineage: Eukaryota; Viridiplantae; Streptophyta; Magnoliopsida; Malpighiales; Euphorbiaceae
Description: long non-coding RNA (MESC_LNC006732)
Source: RNAcentral
GUGAAUGAAAAAUACAUUUUCUAAAUUUGAAUCUCGAUCUCUUGGCAAGAAGUUAACCCAGUUAUCUUUAAAUUCUGAAACUGCAAAAAUUUGCAGAAGACGAAAUCUUCCUGUCAACGAGUUAGUUGGUGUACAAGACACUCUCGGCGAACCUACCGGCAAGUUCAACUAUUUGGUCUGGUAUACGAAACCAGAAUCGGCAGAAACACC